This is a non-coding RNA of Podarcis lilfordi (Lilford's wall lizard), 74 nucleotides long. Lineage: Eukaryota; Metazoa; Chordata; Lepidosauria; Squamata; Lacertidae. The record is from the annotation of a GenBank genome assembly.
AUCCUAGAUAGCUCAGUUGGUAGAGCAGGGGACUCUUCAUCUCUGAGUUGUGGGUUUGAGCCCCAUGCAGGGCA